RNAcentral lists this small RNA (581 nucleotides) under Pongo abelii (Sumatran orangutan). Its description in RNAcentral is "retained intron". Lineage: Eukaryota; Metazoa; Chordata; Mammalia; Primates; Hominidae. The record is from RNAcentral.
CUCAUUCCCACAUUUCUGCCCAGCCCAAGCUCACCUCUCCUAACACAGGGGAGGUGGCCACCAUCGCCAACGGGAAGGUCAACCCGUCCCAGUCCACAGAGGAGGCCACAGAGGCCACGGAGGUGCCAGACCCUGGGCCCAGCGAGCCAGAGACGGCCACAUUGCGGCCCGGGCCUCUCACGGAGCACGUCUUCACUGACCCAGCCCCCACCCCAUCCUCUGGCCCCCAGCCUGGCAGUGAGAAUGGGCCAGAGCCUGACAGCAGCAGCACGCAGCCAGAGCCAGAGCCCAGCGAGGACCCCACGGGAGCAGGCAGCAGUGCUGCACCCACCAUGUGGCUGGGAGCCCAGAACGGCUGGUAGGAAGGGCCCAGGGCAAGGUGGAGGGAGGGUCCUGGGUGAGCCCCUCGCCCAUCGCCACUUCCUUCUCUAGGCUCUAUGUGCACUCUGCUGUGGCCAACUGGAAGAAGUGCCUGCACUCCAUCAAGCUGAAGGAUUCCGUGCUGAGCCUGGUGCAUGUCAAAGGCCGUGUGCUAGUGGCUCUGGCGGACGGGACCCUGGCCAUCUUCCACCGUGGUGAAG